Molecule: non-coding RNA, 24 nt
Filed under: Arabidopsis thaliana (thale cress)
Lineage: Eukaryota; Viridiplantae; Streptophyta; Magnoliopsida; Brassicales; Brassicaceae
Source: RNAcentral
AGCCACCAGUGCCUUUAUUAAAAC